GACGAACGCUGGCGGCGUGCUUAACACAUGCAAGUCGAGCGGUAAGGCCCUUUCGGGGUACACGAGCGGCGAACGGGUGAGUAACACGUGGGUGACCUGCCCUCAGCUCUGGGAUAAGCCUGGGAAACCGGGUCGUAAUACCGGAUAUGACUCCAUGACGCAUGUUGUGGGGUGGAAAGCCUUGUGUGGCUAGAGAUGGGCCCGCGGCCUAUCAGCUUGUUGGUGGGGUGAUGGCCUACCAAGG
RNAcentral lists this ribosomal RNA (244 nucleotides) under uncultured bacterium. RNAcentral describes it as "partial 16S ribosomal RNA". It matches the Rfam family "Bacterial small subunit ribosomal RNA", at positions 28 to 273 of the family's 1533-position model. The record is from RNAcentral.